This is a long non-coding RNA of Canis lupus familiaris (dog), 2567 nucleotides long. RefSeq lists it as uncharacterized. The transcript is spliced from 3 exons. The record is from RefSeq and is a predicted model, not a curated record. NCBI's taxonomy places the organism in Eukaryota, Metazoa, Chordata, Mammalia, Carnivora, Canidae.
UGAAACCUCAGGUUAAUGGUGUUAGAAAAGAGAGAAGUCCUGCCCUUUCCUUCUGCUUUUUCCCUUGCACUGGUUGAAUGCGAGUGUCCUGUAAGAGCUGAGCGCCACUGUAUGCAUAGAAAGCUUGACAGACAACGAGAUACAAAACUUCAGAAUCCCUGACACUACAGAGCCGCUGCCACCUCCGCACCACCAACCGGGACUGUUCACACUCAAGUAGGGGGCUCGUUUUGAGACAUUUGCCAGCGCAGCACCACGAGGUGAACAAUCCCAUUUUUGCCAACAUCUGCCUUCUGACGAAGCCCACCAGAAACACACCUGCAGGCAAGGAAAUUCAGGAUUAUUGACUCUCUGCACCAGAGGUGAUGGGACAGCAUGGGGACCGUGGAGCAUCUCCUCGUUUUAUUAGGAACAUCACAGUCUGUUAAGAAGCCACUACUUUCAACGAACAAAAGCAGCGUUCCCAGGUUCACACCUGCCACCUUCCUCCUGUUCACCAUCACCAGCCUCAGACUCACUGGUCUGGCCACUGGAUUCACAGGGAAUGUGACUCUGUUUUUACCCAAAGGAAGUAUAGACACAGCCAAAGUGUUUAAGAACUCCAUGUCUUAAGCACCUUCAGUGUCCAGUGCCUGGCACAAAGUCAAUGCCUAAUAAAUGCAGGUGGAAUGAAGUGCUCCAGCCUGGGGGUCUAGGAACAGAAAUGGAACUCUGGGCACAUCUCAGACCACACCGUGUGGAUACUUGUACACUCUGUACAUGUAGAGUUUGUUUGUUACCAUCCCUGCCAAGUUCCCUUUUUCUGCAGACCGGGCCACUCCAAGACCACGCGGAUAGGAAGGAAAGUGUGGUAUUUGCAGCUGUGCCCUCUAGGUGUGGCCCUUGCUGCAAGUAAACACACGGCCUGAUUGUUUCUUAUGCUUCACGUCCAUAAGGCCUCAGAUAUCACAACCUUUAAGCAGGGUGUCUCAAAAUGUGCUCCCCCACCACCGGCCCCCGGAGCACCCACGAUGCCUGCUUACAAAGUGCAGAUUCCGCCUCCACCCACAUGGACAGGAUUGGAUCCUCCAGCCCUGGAAACCAGGCUCUGUGGUUUCCACAAAUUCCCCUGCGUGUUGUCUUUGCACACCAGCUCUAGAGAAUAGCUCUACCAGACGGCGUGAUUUUUUUUUUUUCUUUUUCUGUAAGCUCUGUUCAUCUAAUAAAGCAACGGGAAUCUAUUGAUUCACUUGUCCAUUCAACCAACAUCCACCAAGUGCCAGGUACAGAGGUAACUACCGUGAAAAAGACACUCGGUGCUUACAGUCUUCCAGGAAGCUCAUCUCUCAAGACUACUUGCCAUGAUGUGAAAUUUUGUUUUCCUUUCUUAGACCAAAAAGGGGGGGGGGAAAUGGUGUCAUGCUUCCUGACCAGUGAUCAGAACUACUAAUGUUUACAAGCUGAGCUGUUUGCAGUGGCUACUCCUCAGAGAACGGGAGUAGGAAGAGAAAUGAACUGCUUGGCAGUAGGAAGAAAAAUGAACCCCAUUGUACCCCCAUGUUUUCCUGGCAUCCUCCAUGCCCGACCACUCUGCACAUCCUGACUCCGCCGACAGCUUGGCACAGAGCCUGGCACUCUGGCCACUGGCUUGUCCUCCCGCUGCCAGCUGCCUCGGUCUCCCCCAGGCUCCGGAGCACUGGCCAGGGCGUUGCCAGGUGAGAACCGGAGCACCCACGCCUUCGCCCCACCUGCUCAGACUCCCUGGAAAGUCUGCUUCUGCCAUCACCUCCAGGCUCUGAGGAGGCUCCCUAGAAUGCGUGGGACCUCACCUGCCCAAAGGCUGGGAAGGGGCAGGUGGUGUCCCACAGAGAGCAAACUUUGCCUAACAAGGGACGAGAGAACCAAGAGCCAUCAGACAAAUAUCUUGCCAUCCCACCUCCAACACACACACCCAUGGACUGUCCCAGGCAAGGUGGCUGCUAAAGUCUUUCAGGAGAUACCUGUUCCUUUUCUUUUUCAUUACUGCUGCCUUAGGAGAGCAUCCCUAGGUACUAGCAUGUAUGAUCUGCCUCGGGCUCUGUUGUCCAAAGAAACCAGGCCCAGGCUGUGUCUCCAUUUAAAAAUUAAUUUCUUCCAAUUUGUCAACUAAAAUAUUUAAAGUGAAAAAAAUAAAUAAAAUAAAAUAUUUAAAGUGUCUAACUUUGGCAUUAUGGCUGAGUGUCCAUCUCUCUCUUGAAGUCGGGGAUGGUGCCUCACUCAUAUUUAUUUUUCCAGCCCAAGAAUUAUGCCUUGAUUCACAUAGUAGGAAGUCAGUAAGCUGGCAUUUGAUUAAAUAAUACAAAAUCUCUGUCUUCGAGAGGCUCACGAUCAGAAUCGUCAGGCUCCCGGUGCCAUCCUUGAAAUGGUCUUGGUCUCCUCAAAUAGUCGGGCACCUAGAUAGUGACCUAGAGCUGCCCUAUGUGAUCAUGCAAUGACAGAAGUAAAAGAUGAGUGGGAGCAUGGCAAGAAAUAACAGCUUAUAGAUUACAACUUUCAAAUUCCCAUAAUGAACUGCUGAGGAGACUGUGAUUUUCCUGGGCUAUGACAGU